CCUUUCUAUUUUUUUUUUAAAGAUUACAGAAGCAUUUCUGAAGAUAUUUUUUUUUCUAUUGUUUUACAAUUCCUCUCAAGAAAGAUUUUAAGAGUACUGAUCAGUCUCUUCCUCUUUUUUUCAACAUUUAGAGGAAAACAAUGACAUCUGAUAUCUCCAAAUCUGUUACAUCCAUCUAUGAUAUUUUAUGCUUUCAAAUUGAUUUAAUGUUAAUUUUUCUUCUUUCUCUCCUUAUCAUAUUAUUAAGCUUUAAUUGAUUGUGUACUUUCUUUUAUAGAGCGAGUUGCUGUUUUCCCUUUAGGGAUGUUUAGCACAAACAACUGAUCAGUCCUAUUCCUCUCUGUUUACAUUUAGAGGAAUAAGUUUGUAGGAGAUACCUGUCAGGCUAUAGCCUCUUUUUAUACGACAUUUCUAUUUUUGUUGAUUGAUAGCUAUACAAAAUGAAAAGUCUAAAGUCUUUUUAAUGAAAAGGUUUCCCUAACUCGUCAAGUUUAACAUAGGGAAAACACUUUUAUGUAAAUUAUUUUUUUUAAGUCUAAUUGUAUAAUGGAUAAUUUCUGUGUCUCCAAUUGUUUGCUAUAAAAUAUGAAGAUAACGAACAGUAAUCAAAAAUUCCAUUGAACAUGGAGCUCUGAAAAUAUUAGAGGUGGGAUCAGGUGCCGUAGAAGUCCAAGCAUCCUCUGUGGACUGGACUGUAUUCUCUUUGUCCUGAUUUUCUGCAUCAUCAAUUAUAUAUAAAAAUUUUUUUUUUAUUUUUAAUUUUGCAAAUAGAUUUUUAAAAAAAACACCCCCAAUAUCUGAAAAAUUCUGCAAGUAUGGAAUAAACACAGAAAUUAUCUAUUAUACUGUUAUUUUUUU
Molecule: long non-coding RNA, 858 nt
Organism: Saccostrea cuccullata (small rock oyster)
Lineage: Eukaryota; Metazoa; Mollusca; Bivalvia; Ostreida; Ostreidae
Exons: 2
Source: RefSeq, a predicted model, not a curated record